Molecule: unclassified non-coding RNA, 738 nt
Filed under: Hevea brasiliensis (rubber tree)
Lineage: Eukaryota; Viridiplantae; Streptophyta; Magnoliopsida; Malpighiales; Euphorbiaceae
Source: RNAcentral
GCGGCUCAAGCAAUAAUACUAAAUAGGCUCUUAAAUUGUAUCCUCUCUUGAAUCCCACCUCCUCUCAAGUUCAAAUGGGAGUUACACAUUCCAUUAAAAAAAAAAAAUCUCAAUUACAAGCUCAUGAUUCAUGUCCACAAUUGCAAAGCAAUGCAUUCUGAGUGAAACCCAAACCAAGACAUAUUUAGUUAACAUAAAACGGUGUAAAAUGAUUGUAACUUAACACAGACAAGAUAAUACAAUGCAAUCAUUGGAGAAAAACCAAAAUGUCAAAAGAUUGGAACUUCAAAUUUAGGUGAGGUCAUCCUCCUCCAAUUCCUUAGCUUUCAGCUUCUCUUUCACCCUCAACAGAAGGGUCGUCUUCCAGGAAUCCAAUGGGGUCAUGCUGUCAAAUUCCUUGACGACAUCAGUAAACUUUGCAAUAUCUUCCUCAUCAAUAGCAGCAGCAAUAUCCGCUAGGAGUUUGUACUCUCGAGUUCCUGAAAAAGUUGGAUCCAAAUCCUGAUAUCGCUCUAAUGCAUUGGUUAUAGCAACAACAUCGCCUUUGCAGAGGUGACAAAUUCCAGCAUUAAGAAGAUGACCUUUGACUCCAUACUUAAGCAAGUUGUUGCUGAGAGACUGUCGGGCAAUCUCUUCAUAAAUCUCAAUUGCUUUCUGGUAUUGUUCUAGUUGAGCACCAAACUGGGCUACUUUCUGCUUGCAUUGGUUGGCAGAAGUUGUUACUUCUUCACCUUGGAA